RNAcentral lists this long non-coding RNA (227 nucleotides) under Elaeis guineensis (African oil palm). Its description in RNAcentral is "long non-coding RNA (EGUI_LNC006441)". Lineage: Eukaryota; Viridiplantae; Streptophyta; Magnoliopsida; Arecales; Arecaceae. The record is from RNAcentral.
AUUUAAAUAAGUUGUGUGGUUUCCUAAUUGAGUAUCUAGGGAUGACAGAACUUUCUAUAUACUUUUGGAAGAUGACAAGUUUGAGAGUAAUUUAUUCAUAUCUAGCUUAGAAAAUUCAUUCAUCAAAUGGCUCGUAGUAGUCUCCAAACAAAUUUACUUUUUUUUUUUUCUUUAUUUCUUUCUUCUUUCAAAAUGGAAGCAUCCUGAUAAAUUUUUCAGAAAGCCAC